GACGGCUCAUUUUCAAAUGCAAGUCACCAUUUGAUGUUGCAAUCAUCAAGCCUCUAGGAAACAGCCAACACUACCACAAAGAAAGGCAGAUGCAAAUUCUGCUCCAGAUAUUAAGAAGAAUCUUGAGGAACAGGAAAGUCAGGUUACUUGGAUUUCCAGUUCCUUCUGGAAAUCAUAGCAUCCAAAGAUGUUCUCAGCUGAAACAGAAUAUUGCAAGAUAUGUUGUUGCAGAUAUGGCCAAGCAAGUCUGAGGUAUUAUCCUCUAAUAGCAUUACAAGAAUUACUUUAAAGAAAUAAAAUACUAGUCUCCUUUG
This is a long non-coding RNA of Hemicordylus capensis (graceful crag lizard), 314 nucleotides long. RefSeq lists it as uncharacterized. The record is from RefSeq and is a predicted model, not a curated record. Lineage: Eukaryota; Metazoa; Chordata; Lepidosauria; Squamata; Cordylidae. The transcript is spliced from 3 exons.